Molecule: ribosomal RNA, 293 nt
Filed under: uncultured bacterium
Lineage: Bacteria
Description: partial 16S ribosomal RNA
Rfam family: Archaeal small subunit ribosomal RNA
Source: RNAcentral
GUGCCAGCCGCCGCGGUAACCCCAGCGCCACUAGUGGGAAUCGGUAUUAUUGGGCCUAAAGCGUCCGUAGCAGGCUUUCUAAAUUAUUUGUGAAAUUGCGUCGCUCAACGAUGCAGACUGCAGGUAAGACUGGAAAGCUAGAGACUGGGAGACGUUGGAGGUAUUCAAAGGGGAGCGGUAAAAUGCGAGAAUCCUUUGAAGACCACCUGUUGCGAAGGCGUCCAACAAUAACAGGUCUGACUGUGAGGGUCGAAAGCUAGGGGAGCGAACCGGAUUAGAAACCCCUGUAGUCC